UACGGGAGGCAGCAGUGGGGAAUAUUGGACAAUGGGCGCAAGCCUGAUCCAGCAAUGCCGCGUGUGUGAAGAAGGCCUGCGGGUUGUAAAGCACUUUUAUUAGGAAAGAAAAACCCGGAGCUAAUACCUCCGGCAUUGACGGUACCUAAAGAAUAAGCACCGGCUAACUCAGUGCCAGCAGCCGCGGUAAU
RNAcentral lists this ribosomal RNA (191 nucleotides) under uncultured bacterium. RNAcentral's name for it is "partial 16S ribosomal RNA". It matches the Rfam family "Bacterial small subunit ribosomal RNA", at positions 340 to 524 of the family's 1533-position model. The record is from RNAcentral.